This 492-nucleotide ribosomal RNA is filed under the name uncultured bacterium. RNAcentral describes it as "partial 16S ribosomal RNA". It matches the Rfam family "Bacterial small subunit ribosomal RNA", at positions 29 to 507 of the family's 1533-position model. The record is from RNAcentral.
AGUGAACGCUGGCGGUAGGCCUAACACAUGCAAGUCGAACGGCAGCACAGUAAGAGCUUGCUCUUACGGGUGGCGAGUGGCGGACGGGUGAGGAAUACAUCGGAAUCUACUUUUUCGUGGGGGAUAACGUAGGGAAACUUACGAUAAUACCGCAUACGACCUACGGGUGAAAGCAGGGGAUCUUCGGGCCUUUCGCGAUUGAAUGAGCCGAUGUCGGGUUAGCUAGUUGGCGGGGUAAAGGCCCACCAAGGCAACGAUCCGUAGCUGGUCUGAGAGGAUGAUCAGCCACACUGGAACUGAGACACGGUCCAGACUCCUACGGGAGGCAGCAGUGGGGAAUAUUGGACAAUGGGCGCAAGCCUGAUCCAGCCAUACCGCGUGGGUGAAGAAGGCCUUCGGGUUGUAAAGCCCUUUUGUUGGGAAAGAAAAGCAGCAGGUUAAUACCCCGCUGUUCUGACGGUACCCAAAGAAUAAGCACCGGCUAACUUCGUG